UACGAAGGGGGCUAGCGUUGUUCGGAAUCACUGGGCGUAAAGCGCACGUAGGCGGAUGUGCCAGUCAGGGGUGAAAUCCCGGAGCUCAACUCCGGAACUGCCUCUGAUACAGCACGUCUUGAGUUCGAGAGAGGUGGGUGGAAUUCCUAGUGUAGAGGUGAAAUUCGUAGAUAUUAGGAGGAACACCAGUGGCGAAGGCGGCGAUCUGGGAAGAUACUGACGCUGAGGUGCGAAAGCGUGGGGAGCAAACAGG
This 253-nucleotide ribosomal RNA is filed under the name uncultured bacterium. Its description in RNAcentral is "partial 16S ribosomal RNA". It matches the Rfam family "Bacterial small subunit ribosomal RNA", at positions 524 to 776 of the family's 1533-position model. The record is from RNAcentral.